CUAGGUUUGGGGCCUUGCUGAGCUUGGCUGCUCAAGUAGAGUAGGGGUUCCUCUGUGAAGGAGAGCUAGGGACAGAAUUUGGACUUGUUCAUGUCUCUGGGGUUGCGGUCAGGUCCCUGGCUAGGACUGGAGUAUUCCGAAGCAGCUCCCCUUUCCCAGACCCUCAUUCUGGGCCGGCAGACCUGUCACCCAAAGUGCACACCAGGCAAGCGGGGAGCAGGAGGCUCCGGGUGGGUCCCCACCAGCCGGGGCGGGGUCCCGUGGGGCAGGGGCGGGGCUGGCGGCGGGCAGGGCCGCCCCUUCCAGCGAGGGCAGACUGUCUUGGCCUUUAAGCGCCUGCUGAAGCUCGGCUGAGAGAGGCCCGGGUCAGUCCCCACACCAUGCCCUGUUUGCGCUCCGGGCCAGAGUGCGCCUGAGCGGUUCGGGCCUCGGUAUCCCCGCGGGUCUUGCGCCGCCGCCUCUCCGCGAUGCAGGCGCGCGCGCUGCUCCCCGCCACGCUGGCCAUUCUGGCCACGCUGGCUGUGUUGGCUCUGGCCCGGGAGCCCCCAGCGGCUCCGUGUCCUGCGCGCUGCGACGUGUCGCGCUGUCCGAGCCCUCGCUGCCCUGGGGGCUAUGUGCCUGACCUCUGCAACUGCUGCCUGGUGUGCGCUGCCAGCGAGGGCGAGCCCUGCGGCCGCCCCCUGGACUCUCCGUGCGGGGACAGUCUGGAGUGCGUGCGCGGCGUGUGCCGCUGCCGUUGGACCCACACUGUGUGUGGCACAGACGGGCAUACUUAUGCCGACGUGUGCGCGCUGCAGGCCGCCAGCCGUCGUGCGUUGCAGGUCUCCGGGACUCCAGUGCGCCAGCUGCAGAAGGGUGCCUGUCCCUCUGGUCUCCACCAGCUGACCAGUCCGCGGUACAAGUUCAACUUCAUCGCCGAUGUGGUGGAGAAGAUUGCGCCAGCUGUGGUCCACAUAGAGCUCUUUCUGAGACACCCCCUGUUUGGCCGGAAUGUGCCGCUGUCCAGUGGCUCGGGCUUCAUCAUGUCAGAAGCCGGUUUGAUCGUCACCAACGCCCACGUGGUCUCCAGCUCCAGCACUGCCUCCGGCCGGCAGCAGCUGAAGGUGCAGCUGCAGAAUGGGGAUGCCUAUGAGGCCACCAUCCAGGACAUCGACAAGAAGUCGGACAUUGCCACGAUUGUAAUCCACCCCAAGAAAAAGCUCCCUGUGUUGCUGCUGGGUCACUCAGCAGACCUGCGGCCUGGCGAGUUCGUGGUGGCCAUCGGCAGCCCCUUUGCCCUGCAGAACACCGUGACAACGGGCAUUGUCAGCACUGCCCAGCGGGAUGGCAAGGAGCUGGGUCUCCGGGACUCAGACAUGGACUAUAUCCAGACCGAUGCCAUCAUCAAUUACGGGAACUCAGGAGGACCCCUGGUGAACCUGGAUGGCGAGGUCAUCGGCAUCAACACGCUCAAGGUUGCAGCUGGCAUCUCCUUUGCCAUCCCCUCAGAUCGCAUCACACGCUUCCUCUCUGAGUUCCAAAACAAGCAUGUGAAAGCCCUCUCACCAGCACUGCACUGAGAGCAGGGGCCUUCCUCCUGCUUGCCCCCUCCUUUGCGGCCCUGCCAGCCACACACAAGGACCCCAGUACAGCCAAGACUGGUCCCAUGAAGAACUGCAACCGAGGAGCCUCGUUCUGUUCCAAGUGGCCCUAUAUGAAGAUGACAGGAGCAGGCAGAGCCUGUCCCUUCCAGGAAUCCGAGACACCUUCUGACUGGAAGAAGCGCUUCAUUGGCAUCCGGAUGCGGACCAUCACGCCAAGUUUGGUGGAGGAACUGAAGGCCGCCAACCCAGACUUUCCAGCGGUCAGCAGUGGAAUAUAUGUUCAAGAGGUGGUUCCCAAUUCACCUUCUCAGAGAGGAGGCAUCCAAGAUGGCGACAUCAUCGUCAAAGUCAAUGGCCGCCCCCUGGCGGAUUCCAGCGAGCUGCAGGAGGCAGUCCUGAACGAGUCUUCACUCCUGCUGGAGGUGCGGCGAGGCAAUGAUGAUCUCCUCUUCAGCAUCAUCCCUGAGGUGGUCAUGUGAGGCUACUCUCAUCCAGUGCCAUGCCAAAGCCUACAGAAGGUGGGGUUCCGGCCUUCAUGAAAUCAGGACAAACGGCUGCUGUGGUCCUCAGCAGGAUCAACAGUCUCCUCUCUGGGUCCAGCGCUGAGUCCAAGGCUGGAUCUAACCAGGGGUCCGGAUCUCAGCCUUGACCCUUAAUUUCAGCUCCAGUAGAGGAAGCACAGCGUCCUUUGGACCAGAUGCUCCUGAUGUUACCGUCUGAGUUCUCUAGGCCUAGAAGCUCUUAGAAACCUCCCUGGAAGUCUGCCCUUCCCCCACCCCCACCCCAGCUUUCUGCCUCUGCCCUCAGGAAGGCCCACCCGGCUCCCAUCCCACCUCUUCUCCCUUGUAUCCCAGUGCCUCAACCUCUCCCUGUUACAGGCACUUUCCUGACACUACCAGGCUUCCAUCUGCCUCAGCACACCCCACCCCCAUGGUAAGACAGGGGCUGCUUGCCCUACCACCCGGUAUCCCUGGAGGGCAGGCCCUGUAGCUGUCCCCUGGAGAAGCCAGGGUCCUGACCUGGAGCAGGUUAACAUCCCUCACUGCUGAGCUGAGCCCUGUGCUGGCCAGGAUGGACAGGAAGAUGAGUUUCAUAAUCACGUGGUCUCCAACCCUGACAGCUCAUUCUCCCAAGGUGACUACACGGUGGCCAAAGAGGAGCGGACACCUGCCUGAGGUGCAAGGACUGAGCCACUUCACCUCUGCAUGCAGUUCUGGGUGCGGCAGCUGUCUGUGAAGAUGGCGCCACCCAGCAGCCAGCAGGCUCCCAAGGGCAUCUUUGUUCUCCCUAGUGUUUCAAGUGUAUUUGUGAGCAUUGCUGUAAAGUUUCUCCCACUACCCACAUUGCUUGUACUGUAUGUUUCUCUACUGUAUGGCAUUAAAGUUUACAAGCACAUAGCUGUCAACCA
This is an RNA transcript of Mus musculus (house mouse), 2991 nucleotides long. It is a transcript of the gene named HtrA serine peptidase 3, with no coding region annotated. NCBI's taxonomy places the organism in Eukaryota, Metazoa, Chordata, Mammalia, Rodentia, Muridae. The transcript has 10 exons. The record is from RefSeq and is marked validated.